Long non-coding RNA from Ziziphus jujuba (common jujube), 280 nucleotides. RefSeq lists it as uncharacterized. The record is from RefSeq and is a predicted model, not a curated record. NCBI's taxonomy places the organism in Eukaryota, Viridiplantae, Streptophyta, Magnoliopsida, Rosales, Rhamnaceae. The transcript has 3 exons.
UCUAACAUAUUUAAGCAGCAUGUUACUGCUGAAGGAACAACCUUAGUCGAACAGGCUGAAGAUGCAGCUAGCAACAAGAAGGCAGAUAAGAAGGAUGUGAUUGGUCUGCAGGAGCAGGUAACUGCAUGGCUUACUUCUAAAACUUAGGCUGGGCUGGUUUUCUUAGGUGAAAAUUAAUGUUAAUUUUGGUACCCCCAGGAUUUUGUUAGAAAUGUCAGUGAGCUUCAUGACAAAUAUCUAGCAUGUGUCAGUGACUGCUUCCAAAAUCAUACCCUUUUUC